CCCAUCCUCUAUCUUUGUUGCCAUAAUCUAUACAGUUCCCAGGAGUCUAGAAGUUUGCUUCCAAGGAGUCCAAAUCUGAGUUCUUUCUAAUUUGGACUGUGGAUGAAGAUGCCGGUGGAGGUGGAAAAGGGAUCAGAGGAUGGAGUUUACAUUGUGAUUCUCUCCUUGAGCUUUGGAGGAGGUUCCAUAUGAAUAUAACUUCUUGCCUAAGUUGGUUUAGGUAAGAAGACUCUUCAUGUGCCUGUUUCCUUCAAAUUUUAAGGGAAUCACUCAGGCUGCAUCUUCUCUCCCUUCUACUCUCCCUGAGAUGAGAGAAGAACGAUCACCAAUGGCAAAUGCAGUUGUAGCGAAGUAAAACCAAGAGCUGGCCUCACGCGCCACAGAGAAUGCUGCGUCUCCUCCUCAUGGUUUCUGGGGCUCCUCACGCUGAGAAACUUCUGUAGCCACAAAUCAUAUAAAUGAUCCCUGAAAGUAUAGUCUUUCCAUUUCUUACUAAUGAAGUCAUGCUCUGCUCACCUCCAACUUGACAGUGUUUGGUAGCUUUGUCAUAGGCUUCUCAUUGCUGAGGCAGGAACCAUAGGAAUAUUGGCCUCAGAAACAGUAAGGUGAGGGACAAAGAGUCUAAGAUAAGGAACCUAAUAUUGCAUCAUUGCCUAGUGGCAGGGAUGGCAGAACGCUGUCAUUCCCCACCCUGUGCCGGUGGCAGACAUUGCUAAUCAAUCAUGCACUCUUAUCUACUGAACCUGAGGAGCCUCAGACUCCUCAAAAUGGUGGCCCUGAGUCACAUCCCAG
Molecule: long non-coding RNA, 792 nt
Filed under: Homo sapiens (human)
Lineage: Eukaryota; Metazoa; Chordata; Mammalia; Primates; Hominidae
Description: HSALNT0013210
Source: RNAcentral